Molecule: ribosomal RNA, 700 nt
Filed under: uncultured bacterium
Lineage: Bacteria
Description: bacterial SSU rRNA
Rfam family: Bacterial small subunit ribosomal RNA
Source: RNAcentral
UGGCUCAGGACGAACGCUGGCGGCGUGCUUAAUACAUGCAAGUCGAACGGAGCUUAGCUGAUAGUUUACUAGAGGCGAAAGCUUAGUGGCGGACGGGUGAGUAACGCGUGGGUAAUCUGCCCCUAAGUCCGGGAUAACAGAGCGAAAGUUCUGCUAAGACCGGAUAUACUUCUCUAAUUGCAUAAUCGGAGAAGGAAAGGUAACGCUUAGGGAUGAGCCCGCGUCCCAUUAGCUAGUUGGUGAGGUAACGGCCCACCAAGGCGACGAUGGGUAGCCGGCCUGAGAGGGUGGACGGCCACACUGGGACUGAGACACGGCCCAGACUCCUACGGGAGGCAGCAGUAGGGAAUUUUCCGCAAUGGGCGCAAGCCUGACGGAGCAACGCCGCGUGAGGGACGAAGGUCUUCGGAUCGUAAACCUUUGUCAAUGAGGACGAUAAUGACGGUACUCGAUGAGGAAGCCCCGGCUAACUACGUGCCAGCAGCCGCGGUAACACGUAGGGGGCGAGCGUUGUCCGGAAUUACUGGGCGUAAAGGGCGCGUAGGCGGCCUAAUAAGUCAAAUGUGAAACCCCUGGGCUUAACCCUGGGCUUGCAUUAGAAACUGUUGGGCUUGAGGGCAGGAGAGGAAAGCGGAAUUCCCAGUGUAGCGGUGAAAUGCGUAGAUAUUGGGAGGAACACCAGUGGCGAAGGCGGCUUUCU